UCGCUACUACCGAUUGAAUGGCUUAGUGAGCUCUAGGGACUGUUGCCUUUCGUUGGGUUUCCAACGAGAGAUUAGCGGGAACUAGAUCAAACUUGAUCAUUUAGAGGAAGUAA
RNAcentral lists this ribosomal RNA (113 nucleotides) under uncultured eukaryote. Its description in RNAcentral is "partial small subunit ribosomal RNA". It matches the Rfam family "Eukaryotic small subunit ribosomal RNA", at positions 1676 to 1785 of the family's 1831-position model. The record is from RNAcentral.